Small nuclear RNA from Suncus etruscus (white-toothed pygmy shrew), 102 nucleotides. Lineage: Eukaryota; Metazoa; Chordata; Mammalia; Eulipotyphla; Soricidae. The record is from RefSeq and is a predicted model, not a curated record.
GCUUGCUUCAGCAGCACAUACUAAAAUUGGAACAAUACAGAGAAGAUUAGCAUGGCCCUUGCGCAAGAUGACACACAAAUUCAUGAAGCGUUCCAUAUUAAA